RNAcentral lists this ribosomal RNA (246 nucleotides) under uncultured bacterium. RNAcentral describes it as "partial 16S ribosomal RNA". It matches the Rfam family "Bacterial small subunit ribosomal RNA", at positions 523 to 769 of the family's 1533-position model. The record is from RNAcentral.
AUACGGAGGAUCCGAGCGUUAUCCGGAUUUAUGGGUUUAAAGGGAGCGUAGGUGGACGUAUAAGUCAGUUGUGAAAGUUUGCGGCUCAACCGUAAAAUUGCAGUUGAUACUGUAUGUCUUGAGUGUACAAGAGGUGGGCGGAAUUCGUGGUGUAGCGGUGAAAUGCUUAGAUAUCACGAGGAACUCCGAUUGCGAAGGCAGCUUACUAAGCUACAACUGACACUGAAGCACGAAAGCGUGGGGAUC